GCCUGCCCAGUGACCAUGUGUUCAACGGCCGCGGUAUUCUGACCGCGCGAAGGUAGCGUAAUCACUUGUCUUCUAAAUAAAGACUAGUAUGAACGGCCACACGAAGACUUAACUGUCUCCCCUGUCCAAUCAGUGAAACUGAUCUCCUUGUGCAGAAGCGAGGAUAAACCCAUAAGACGAGAAGACCCUAUGGAGCUUUAAACUUAAUAUUAACUAUUUCUAUAAUCCCCUCUAAGGAAUUAACAAAUAACUCUUUUCAACUUAAUAUUAGUUUUAGGUUGGGGCGACCAUGGAGAAAAAAAUAUCCUCCCUGAUGACUUUUAAACCAAGAGCCACAGCUCUAAGUAUUAAGAUACUUAACUUCCAUUGACCCAUUUUAUGAUCAACGAACCAAGUUACCCUAGGGAUAACAGCGCAAUCCAUUUCAAGAGUCCCUAUCGACAAAUGGGUUUACGACCUCGAUGUUGGAUCAGGGCAUCCCAGUGGUGCAACCGCUACUAAUGGUUCGUUUGUUCAACGAUUAAAGCCCU
Molecule: ribosomal RNA, 530 nt
Filed under: Megophrys sp. 14 JMC-2016
Lineage: Eukaryota; Metazoa; Chordata; Amphibia; Anura; Megophryidae
Description: partial 16S ribosomal RNA
Rfam family: Bacterial large subunit ribosomal RNA
Source: RNAcentral